GCGUGGGUGACGAAGGCCUUCGGGUUGUAAAGCCCUUUCGGCGGGGAAGAUGAUGACGGUACCCGCAGAAGAAGCCCCGGCUAACUCCGUGCCAGCAGCCGCGGUAAUACGGAGGGGGCUAGCGUUGUUCGGAAUUACUGGGCGUAAAGGGCGCGUAGGCGGCCGUUCAAGUCAGGCGUGAAAGGCCCGGGCUCAACCUGGGAACUGCGUUUGAGACUGGAUGGCUCGAGAUCGGGAGAGGCGAGUGGAAUUCCCAGUGUAGAGGUGAAAUUCGU
This 275-nucleotide ribosomal RNA is filed under the name uncultured bacterium. RNAcentral describes it as "partial 16S ribosomal RNA". It matches the Rfam family "Bacterial small subunit ribosomal RNA", at positions 399 to 691 of the family's 1533-position model. The record is from RNAcentral.